Uranotaenia lowii is the source of this 270-nucleotide long non-coding RNA. RefSeq lists it as uncharacterized. The transcript is spliced from 2 exons. The record is from RefSeq and is a predicted model, not a curated record. Lineage: Eukaryota; Metazoa; Arthropoda; Insecta; Diptera; Culicidae.
CCUGACGCCUGAUAAAUAAACUGGAUCUUAUUAUAGGUGAUAUAAGAAAAAAUGAAUAUGUUGCUAGAGGAGGUGAAACAUGCUUCAAUUUCUAAAUAACACCGGAGAAUGCCGAAAAACUUGCACAUGCUGGAGAAAAAAUUGAUUCCGUGGAAAUAAAAACAGUGCCGAUCAGCCGUCAAAAACAAUGGACAUUUUGAUCGUUCAACUGAAUUUAUAGUUUAGUGUAUAACAAAAAUUGAAUAAAUAUUUUCUUUUUAAAUUGAAAAA